RNAcentral lists this ribosomal RNA (433 nucleotides) under uncultured bacterium. RNAcentral describes it as "partial 16S ribosomal RNA". It matches the Rfam family "Bacterial small subunit ribosomal RNA", at positions 29 to 507 of the family's 1533-position model. The record is from RNAcentral.
AACGAACGCUGGCGGCAUGCCUAACACAUGCAAGUCGAACGAGACCUUCGGGUCUAUUGGCGCACGGGUGCGUAACGCGUGGGAAGCUGCCCUUAGGUUCGGAAUAACUCCCCGAAAGGGGUGCUAAUACCGGAUAAUGUCUUCGGACCAAAGAUUUAUCGCCUUUGGAUGGGCCCGCGUUGGAUUAGCUAUUUGGUAUGGUAAACGCCUACCAAGGCGACGAUCCAUAGCUGGUCUGAGAGGAUGAUCAGCCACACUGGGACUGAGACACGGCCCAGACUCCUACGGGAGGCAGCAGUGGCGAAUAUUGGACAAUGGGCGAAAGCCUGAUCCAGCAAUGCCGCGUGAGUGAUGAAGGUCUUAGGGUUGUAAAGCUCUUUUACCCGGGAUGAUAAUGACAGUACCGGGAGAAUAAGCUCCGGCUAACUCCGUG